GACGAACGCUGGCGGCGUGCCUAAUACAUGCAAGUAGAACGCUGAAGGAGGAGCUUGCUUCUCUGGAUGAGUUGCGAACGGGUGAGUAACGCGUAGGUAACCUGCCUGGUAGCGGGGGAUAACUAUUGGAAACGAUAGCUAAUACCGCAUAAUAGUAGAUGUUGCAUGACAUUUACUUAAAAGGUGCAAUUGCAUCACUACCAGAUGGACCUGCGUUGUAUUAGCUAGUUGGUGGGGUAACGGCUCACCAAGGCGACGAUACAUAGCCGACCUGAGAGGGUGAUCGGCCACACUGGGACUGAGACACGGCCCAGACUCCUACGGGAGGCAGCAGUAGGGAAUCUUCGGCAAUGGACGAAAGUCUGACCGAGCAACGCCGCGUGAGUGAAGAAGGUUUUCGGAUCGUAAAGCUCUGUUGUAAGAGAAGGACGAGUGUGAGAGUGGAAAGUUCACACUGUGACGGUAUCUUACCAGAAAGGGGCGGCUAACUACGU
This 494-nucleotide ribosomal RNA is filed under the name uncultured bacterium. RNAcentral's name for it is "partial 16S ribosomal RNA". It matches the Rfam family "Bacterial small subunit ribosomal RNA", at positions 28 to 506 of the family's 1533-position model. The record is from RNAcentral.